UAAUAGGCCAACAAAUGUCAAGCUAAAGUUAGAAAUCAGAAACUCCGUGUAGACUCACAGAUCCUCUCUCAAUUUUGUCUCGCUAAGGUAACAGCCAUAGGCCAUGGGUACAUCUGCAGAAGAACCUCCAUCACCACCACCACCGUUAGAGUGGGACCAAUCUUCAUCCGACGGAGAAGAACCAUCACCAUCAACGUCGAUAUCAUUCGACAGGGACCGCCACGUGGCUUACCUGGAGAUGAUGUACCAGAUGCUACCCAGCUAUUACCAAUCGCAAGAGAUCAAUCGCCUCACUCUCGCCUACUUCACCAUUUCCGGCCUGGACAUCCUCGGUGCUCUCGAUCGAGUAGAUAAAGAUGCUGUGGCUAGUUGGGUUUUAUCCUUUCAAGCUCACCCUGGGGAUAAAAAUCAAUUGAACAAUGGACAAUUCUAUGGGUUCCAAGGUUCUCGAUCUUCCCAAUUCCCCUUGGGCUGUGAUGGGGUUUUGAUUCACAAUCUUAGUCAUCUGGCUAGCACAUAUUGUGCACUAGCUACACUAAAGACUGUCGGCUAUAAUUUGUCAAAUGUUGACUCCAAAUCAAUAUUGACAUCAAUGAGAAACUUGCAACAACCUGAUGGCAGUUUUCUUCCCAUCCAUAUUGGGGCAGAGACAGAUCUUCGUUUCGUAUACUGUGCUGCGGCUAUCUGUUUUAUGUUGGGGGACUGGAAUGGCAUGGAUAGGGAGAAAGCCAAGGAAUACAUCAUAAAAUGCCAAUCAUAUGAUGGUGGCUUUGGGAUGGUUCCUGGCUCAGAAUCUCAUGGUGGUGGAACUUACUGUGCAGUUGCAUCACUACGAUUGAUGGGUUUUAUGGAAGAUGACAUUCUGUCUACAAGUGGAGCAUCUUCCGUCAUAGACCUUCCAUUGUUGCUGGAAUGGUGCUUGCAGGUUUAUUUUUCUUCAUUUGAUUUUUGGAAUCAUUUCGUAACAUUGGUGACAGAUUUCAUAGCUACAGCUUUUAUAAUUAUAAAACAACGGAUUGAACUGAUAUGAAGGACAUUAAGAGCUAAAAGAACCACCCAAUGAAAUGUUAAUCAAAUCAUAGCCUCCAUUGCACGCAAUAUAAUCUUUUCAAGGUUUUCCUAUUGCACGCAAUAUAAUAUUUUCAAGGUUUUCCUUCUGUCCCACUUGUUUUUUUCUCUGCUUCAGAGACAAGCAGCUGAUGGUGGUUUUCAAGGUAGACCAAACAAACCUAGUGACACAUGUUAUGCAUUUUGGUAAGUCCCCAACUUGAGAAAUGCCAUGCUAUAAGUUGCAGUUCUUCCGUGCCUUCAAAAUGGCAUCACACUUGUGCAGGGUUGGAGCAGUUUUGAGGAUUUUAGGAGGCUACAAAUUGAUUGAUGGGAAAGCUUUACGUGAAUUUUUGAUAACUUGCCAAUCCAAGGUGCUGAUCUUUGUUUCCCAAAUUUCAGCACUUGCUUGUGGUUGAGACCUUUAGCCACUGAAAACUAAAGGUCUCUAUAGCUUAUUAUUUACUAAGCAUAUUCAUAAGAAUGGGCCUUUCCUUCAUACUUUAGAAAAUAGGAACCACACCAGUGCUGUUAAAAGCUUUCCUCCUUUUACUGACAUUGACAGUUCCAAUAAUGGGAUGAUUUGUGACCUUUAGCCUCUGAAAAUGGCGGAAUGGGUUUAUGAGAAAGAACUAAUGAAAAACAGAACCAGAAAGUGCAGUGCUAUGCUUAAAAUGUCUGAACUGCCAUGACUUGCAGAUAAAUGUAUGUUAUAGGAAUUGCAUCAUACUUUCCUGUCAUGUAUAGGAGGACUAGAUGUAGAAAUAAUAAAUAAUAGUAGUGUGGGUAAUAAGAAUAGAAUUGGUUAGAGUUGUCCACUAGUAUGUUAGAGGGAAAAGUUGUUAGGGCAGUUACUGAGGUUGCAACAGUUAUAGGGGCAGGAAUUUGAGUAUAAAGGUAGAUGGAGAAGCUCUUUGUAAGGCAUUCCAGAACUAAUAUGAAUUCAUAAUACUUCUUUUCUCCUAUUCCUCCUUCCCUUUUUUUCUCUAUUCCCUCUCCAAUUUCUAUUCUUUUCUGUGAUUAAAAACCUGGUUACAUGACAUUUCCUUGAAAAAUAUUCCAUUGGCAAAUAAUAUGACUAUCUAAUUCUUGUUUGCUUAUAUUUUUUUGCACAGUAUGGUGGUUUUGGUAAAUUUCCAGGUGAGCUGCCCGAUAUAUACCAUUCCUACUAUGGAUGCACAGCAUUUAGUCUUUUGGAAGAACCUGGCCUUAAUUCACUCUCCUUUGAAUUGGGAAUAACAGAUGUUGCUGCCUUGGGAAUCUGACUUGAUUUUCUUCUUCUUUCUAAGGUUUUGCAAUGCCAUCUAAUUUAUUCUUGCACAGCAAAUGUAAUUUUUUUUUUCCACUGCAAUUAUAUCCCAUGUAGGGUAUACGUGUAACAAUAAAACACAGAGUGGAAUUGUUGUGACUUGCUAUGAAUAAUAAAACACAGAGUGGUCUAUUGCAGGUUAAAUGUAUUGGCUCCCCACCCCUCAUCUGCUCUGUGUUAUCAAAGAUGGUUUCAUGCUACACUGCUCAAUAUUAACCAGCUUUUUGGUAAUGACAUUUACCGACUUCCUGAUGUUGGUCACAGUACAGAGUGGAUGUUUGUGAAGUCUUAUAUCAUUAUAGUGAUUCGUACUAAAUAUGUUGACCUUAAGCUGGGGGCUUAUUGAACAUAAUGACUUUUUAAGUGAUUUGCAAUGAAUUUUUGGCUUUUGGAAAGGUGAAAAAUAUUUGAGUUUG
RNAcentral lists this unclassified non-coding RNA (2772 nucleotides) under Hevea brasiliensis (rubber tree). The record is from RNAcentral. Lineage: Eukaryota; Viridiplantae; Streptophyta; Magnoliopsida; Malpighiales; Euphorbiaceae.